UACGUAGGUGGCAAGCGUUAUCCGGAUUUAUUGGGCGUAAAGCGAGCGCAGGCGGUUGCUUAGGUCUGAUGUGAAAGCCUUCGGCUUAACCGAAGAAGUGCAUCGGAAACCGGGCGACUUGAGUGCAGAAGAGGACAGUGGAACUCCAUGUGUAGCGGUGAAAUGCAUAGAUAUAACUUAGAACACCGAUAGCGAAGGCAGCUUACCAGACUGAGUCUGACGCUGAUGCACGAGAGCAUGGGUAGCGAACAGG
RNAcentral lists this ribosomal RNA (253 nucleotides) under uncultured Lactobacillus sp. RNAcentral's name for it is "partial 16S ribosomal RNA". It matches the Rfam family "Bacterial small subunit ribosomal RNA", at positions 524 to 776 of the family's 1533-position model. Lineage: Bacteria; Bacillati; Bacillota; Bacilli; Lactobacillales; Lactobacillaceae. The record is from RNAcentral.